RNAcentral lists this ribosomal RNA (491 nucleotides) under uncultured bacterium. Its description in RNAcentral is "partial 16S ribosomal RNA". It matches the Rfam family "Bacterial small subunit ribosomal RNA", at positions 29 to 507 of the family's 1533-position model. The record is from RNAcentral.
GUGAACGCUGGCGGUAGGCCUAACACAUGCCAGUCGAACGGCAGCACAGUAAGAGCUUGCUCUUACGGGUGGCGAGUGGCGGACGGGUGAGGAAUACAUCGGAAUCUACUUUUUCGUGGGGGAUAACGUAGGGAAACUUACGCUAAUACCGCAUACGACCUACGGGUGAAAGCAGGGGAUCUUCGGACCUUGCGCGAUUGAAUGAGCCGAUGUCGGAUUAGCUAGUUGGCGGGGUAAAGGCCCACCAAGGCGACGAUCCGUAGCUGGUCUGAGAGGAUGAUCAGCCACACUGGAACUGAGACACGGUCCAGACUCCUACGGGAGGCAGCAGUUGGGAAUAUUGGACAAUGGGCGCAAGCCUGAUCCAGCCAUACCGCGUGGGUGAAGAAGGCCUUCGGGUUGUAAAGCCCUUUUGUUGGGAAAGAAAAGCAGCAGGUUAAUACCCCGCUGUUCUGACGGUACCCAAAGAAUAAGCACCGGCUAACUUCGUG